Molecule: ribosomal RNA, 509 nt
Filed under: uncultured bacterium
Lineage: Bacteria
Description: bacterial SSU rRNA
Rfam family: Bacterial small subunit ribosomal RNA
Source: RNAcentral
GAUCGAUGGACUCAGGACGAACGCUGGCGGCGUGCCUAACCCAUGCAAGUCGAACGGAAUUAGCUCAAAUGAGACUUCGGUGAAGGAGAGCUAAGAUAGUGGCGGACGGGUGAGUAACGCGUGAACAACCUGCCUUUUUACAGGGGGAUAACACAUGGAAACGUGUGCUAAUACCGCAUAAGACCACAGUGCCGCAUGGCACAGGGGUCAAAGGAGCAAUCCGGUAGAAGAGGGGUUCGCGUCCCAUUAGCUAGUUGGUAGGUAACGGCCUACCAAGGCAACGAUGGGUAUCCGAGCUGAGAGGCUGAACGGACACACUGGGACUGAGAUACGGCCCAGACUCCUACGGGAGGCAGCAGGGAGGAAUAUUGGUCAAAUGGGGGAAACCCUGAACCAGCAACGCCGCGUGAAGGAAGAAGGCCCUCGGGUUGUAAACUUCUGUUUUCAGGGAAGAAAGAAAUGACGGUACCUGAAGAGGAAGCUCCGGCAAACUACGUGCCAGCCGCUGC